GGGUGCCUGAGGCUUUCUGACUUCAGGCUACUGCGGAGGUCGGAGAGAGGAGGCCCCAGGAAGAUGUUAACUAUCAACCUGAGGCUGACUACCCGACCCAAACAAUCGGAUAGUAGCCUCUUCUUCGCAUGGAGGCAACGCGAUGCUGACAAAAUA
This 156-nucleotide antisense RNA is filed under the name Pseudocitrobacter vendiensis. RNAcentral describes it as "sok antitoxin (CssrC)". It matches the Rfam family "sok antitoxin (CssrC)". From Rfam's summary of the family: Also identified in Shigella as CssrC. Lineage: Bacteria; Pseudomonadati; Pseudomonadota; Gammaproteobacteria; Enterobacterales; Enterobacteriaceae. The record is from RNAcentral.